CCUACGUGAGGCAGCAGUGGGGAAUAUUGCGCAAUGGGCGAAAGCCUGACGCAGCGACGCCGCGUGAGGGAUGAAGGUCUUCGGAUCGUAAACCUCUGUCAGCAGGGAAGAACGGUCACUGUGCUAAUCAGCAGUGAAUUGACGGUACCUGCAAAGGAAGCACCGGCUAACUCCGUGCCAGCAGCCGCGGUACUACGGAGGGUGCGAGCGUUAAUCGGAAUUACUGGGCGUAAAGCGCGCGUAGGCGGUAUGUCAAGUCAAGGGUGAAAUCCCCGCGCUCAACGUGGGAACUGCCUUUGAAACUGGCAAACUGGAGUGUGUGAGAGGAUAGUGGAAGUCCAGGUGUAGGAGUGAAAUCCGUAGAUAUCUGGAGGAACAUCAGUGGCGAAGGCGACGAUCUGGCACAUAACUGACGCUGAGGAGCGAAAGCGUGGGUAGCAAACAGGAUUAGAUACCCUUGUAGUC
This 465-nucleotide ribosomal RNA is filed under the name uncultured bacterium. Its description in RNAcentral is "partial 16S ribosomal RNA". It matches the Rfam family "Bacterial small subunit ribosomal RNA", at positions 338 to 795 of the family's 1533-position model. The record is from RNAcentral.